Molecule: long non-coding RNA, 388 nt
Organism: Mytilus trossulus (common blue mussel)
Lineage: Eukaryota; Metazoa; Mollusca; Bivalvia; Mytilida; Mytilidae
Exons: 3
Source: RefSeq, a predicted model, not a curated record
GUGUUCCACGCGAUGAAAUCGGUGGAAUACAUGUCCAAUCAUUUGGUGGUUCCAGAUACGUUUUUGUCAACUUUACUCAAAAAAACUAUCCCGAAGCAGAGGCAUACUGUUCUGAUAUUUGUGGAUCACUUGUCGAAAUCAAUACCAAAGAGGAAGACGACUACCUUAUGACAACAACGCAAUCAUUAAACGUUGUAUCGUUUUGGAUAGGAUUAAAGUCGAACGACGGGUCGAGUUUCGAAUGGCCUUCGGGCAAUACAAUAAUUACUAACGUGUAUGAAAAUUUUGUGGAUCAGAGAGAUGCUAAAGAUAAAGGAAGUUGUGUGUCCGCAUAUAAUGAUUUUAACAGUUGGAGGUGGGAACCGUUUGUAAAAGAAUUUUGCGAUGA